This is a non-coding RNA of Triticum aestivum (bread wheat), 127 nucleotides long. NCBI's taxonomy places the organism in Eukaryota, Viridiplantae, Streptophyta, Magnoliopsida, Poales, Poaceae. The record is from Rfam.
GCACUACUCCCUCUGUUUGGAUUUACUCGUCCAAGAAAUGAAUGCAUCUAGAUGUAUUUUAGUUGUAUAGAUACAUUCAUUUUAAUCCAUUUUUUUGACGAGUAAUUCCGAACGAAGGGAGUACUUA